Molecule: transfer RNA, 82 nt
Filed under: Chloroflexota bacterium
Lineage: Bacteria; Bacillati; Chloroflexota
Description: Chloroflexi bacterium tRNA-Gly
Source: RNAcentral
UCGGUCGAGGCUUUUAUCGGCGACGCGAGGCAUCUGCUUCCCAAGCAGAGGGUCGCGGGUUCGAGCCCCGUCUCCCGCUCCA